This 243-nucleotide ribosomal RNA is filed under the name uncultured bacterium. Its description in RNAcentral is "partial 16S ribosomal RNA". It matches the Rfam family "Bacterial small subunit ribosomal RNA", at positions 796 to 1041 of the family's 1533-position model. The record is from RNAcentral.
CACGCUGUAAACGAUCAAUACUAGGUGUGCGGGGACUGACCCCCUGCGUGCCGGAGUUAACACAAUAAGUAUUGCACCUGGGGAGUACGAUCGCAAGGUUGAAACUCAAAGGAAUUGACGGGGGCCCGCACAAGCGGUGGAUUAUGUGGUUUAAUUCGAAGCAACGCGAAGAACCUUACCAAGGCUUGACAUAUAGAGGAAACGGCCAGAGAUGGUCGCCCCGCAAGGUCUCUAUACAGGUGG